This 623-nucleotide long non-coding RNA is filed under the name Solanum tuberosum (potato). Its description in RNAcentral is "long non-coding RNA (STUB_LNC008715)". The record is from RNAcentral. Lineage: Eukaryota; Viridiplantae; Streptophyta; Magnoliopsida; Solanales; Solanaceae.
UGGGUCCAUUCAAUUAGAAUUCUGCAAUUGGGCCGGUCUCUUGGACCUUUUGGGGGCCCAUUUUUGCUUGAAUCUGCUGGAACAAAAGUAAUUGGGCCUUGGCUCUGCAUUUUGCUAUUUUUGACUUGUAUCUCAAUUUUUAGCCUUUAUGGCUCGAUUCGGAUUCGGAAAUGCAAGGAAAAGAGGUCCGUCGUGGACUCAAAGAGGUUCAUGCAACACACAAAAGGGAAGAUGAUAUUAAUAUUCAAAAUAAGGAAACAAGUAAGUCAUGAUUUCAAUUUAUGAGGUGGUAAGCUUAGACAAUUUAAAAUAAAAGAAAGUUAUUACUAGUGUAUUAAAUGGAAUUCAAGGGAAAGUACAAGCCAAGAAAAGGGUGAAAACACAUAUUUGACAAUAAGACUUACUGCCUAUUAUAUUAAAAGGACACCUCAUAUUUAUUCACUCCGAAAUGCCAAUAUUAAACAAAUAUCAACAAGGCAUAUCGGAUAAACCCAUAAUCUAGCAUGCUCGAAAAUAUGACAAAAUGUAUGAAAAAGCAAUAUGAGCUAUCUGCUACCAUUAAACAAAUACCUAAUAACCUAUAGCUAGGCAGUAGACAACUUAGACAAAAUCCACACCCGACU